CCUACGGGAGGCAGCAGUGGGGAAUAUUGGGCAAUGGGCGCAAGCCUGACCCAGCAACGCCGCGUGAAGGAAGAAGGCUUUCGGGUUGUAAACUUCUUUUGUCAGGGAAGAGUAGAAGACGGUACCUGACGAAUAAGCCACGGCUAACUACGUGCCAGCAGCCGCGGUAAUACGUAGGUGGCAAGCGUUGUCCGGAUUUACUGGGUGUAAAGGGCGUGUAGCCGGGUUGACAAGUCAGAUGUGAAAUCCUGCGGCUUAACCGCAGAACUGCAUUUGAAACUGUUGAUCUUGAGUACUGGAGAGGCAGACGGAAGUCCGAGUGUAGCGGUGAAAUGCGUAGAUAUUAGGAGGAACACCAGUGGCGAAGGCGGUCUGCUGGACAGCAACUGACGGUGAGGCGCGAAAGCGUGGGGAGCAAACAGGAUUAGAUACCCCAGUAGUC
This 442-nucleotide ribosomal RNA is filed under the name uncultured bacterium. Its description in RNAcentral is "partial 16S ribosomal RNA". It matches the Rfam family "Bacterial small subunit ribosomal RNA", at positions 338 to 795 of the family's 1533-position model. The record is from RNAcentral.